Salmo salar (Atlantic salmon) is the source of this 54-nucleotide non-coding RNA. The record is from Rfam. Lineage: Eukaryota; Metazoa; Chordata; Actinopteri; Salmoniformes; Salmonidae.
CCUACUCACUACUGUAAGUUGCUCUGGAUAAGGGCGUCUGCUAAAUGACUGAAA